This 1344-nucleotide long non-coding RNA is filed under the name Sparus aurata (gilthead seabream). RNAcentral's name for it is "lncRNA (ENSSAUG00010021587.1)". Lineage: Eukaryota; Metazoa; Chordata; Actinopteri; Spariformes; Sparidae. The record is from RNAcentral.
CUCCAAGUGUGGACGAGAGUGUGUUUGUUAAUAGGAAGAGGUACCACAGCAUCAACACGCAAGUAGAGAUACGGCACACUCCAGACAGAGUGUGCCGUAUCAUUAUGGCAUGUGCAAUACUGCACAACAUUUGUAAGGAGCGCAAUGUCCCACUUCCACCAGCAGACGAUGAUGACGAUGAGGGAGGAGAUGGAGACGCGAGCGUCCCUGGCAACAUCCAUCCAUGUGAUGGGGCAGCCUUCAGACAACACUUCGCCAACCUCCACUUUGGUGCCUGCAGAUCAUCCGUCUCCUCUGCUGAGUCGCAAUCACUCACCUCGGCCUGAAAAACAAAAGAGACGGCAUGCUCAAGAUGUGAUAAACUUAAGUUGAUUUCUUCUUUUUCUUUUUCACCCACCACUUGAUUGUUGCCUGUUGCCUCACACGAAGUGCUUGGGCCUGGCUGCACCGCGUCAAAGGCAGAGGGAGAGUGCGCAGGGGAGUGGGACACAGGAGACUCUAAUGCAUCUCGAUCCAAACUGAAACAUAAAGAAUAUGGCUGAAAUAUCAGAAAUGGUCCUGUUGUUGUUAUGACGUGAACAAACACAUUUUAGAUAUUUACUUAACAGUAGCCUGCAUAUCCAACAACAAUCACGCACGUAUCUCUCACCAAAACGCACCUAGGCUGCAGCGCAAUAUCCCUAUAGGGUUGCAACCGCAAUAAUUUGUGAACUCACCCUUUUGAAAGCAACUCAAGCUUCAUCGCAGCUGGAUCCUGGCCGCCGUCCAACCCAGAGAUGCUGGGGUUAUCCUCUCCAAGAAUGCGCUGCACAACUUCUGCAACUGCGCUCAAAUCUUUGCCAGGUGGUCCUCCGCCUGCAUAAGAAUAUACAAACGAAUUAAUUCGAUAUGAGCGAAUAAGGUGGCAUGCAAGCAAAUGAAAAAGAAGCACUACAUACCAGUGCGCAUGGAGCAGGCCUUGAAAGCUGCGAUUUCACUUCUGCUUUUCGAGAGAACGUUAUACCACUUCUUCUCGCAGUCAGCUGGUGACCGAUGGCUGAAGGUUUGAGAGGCGUUAAGUUGAUUUGAUAUGUCUUCCCAUGCCUGUUUUUUAUCAUGGCUGGUAAGCGUCGGGCUGAACUUGCCUUUAAUGAUGAGCUUCCUUUCCUCGACUAGCUCUACUAACAACAGUGUCUCCUCCUCUCGCCAGUUUGGUUUUCUUUUCGAUUCCAUGUUGAUUUCUGCAUGUGGCUGCAGUGGGCUAGUAUAUAUAGAGCCACCCACACCAGUUUCAAAUUAGUUGCCUAAUUAAUGAAUUGGAAAGAAAAGGAAACAUUUAUUUUUGAUUCAUUGCCAAUAUUGUUU